This 468-nucleotide ribosomal RNA is filed under the name uncultured bacterium. Its description in RNAcentral is "partial 16S ribosomal RNA". It matches the Rfam family "Bacterial small subunit ribosomal RNA", at positions 28 to 507 of the family's 1533-position model. The record is from RNAcentral.
GACGAACGCUGGCGGCGUGCUUAACACAUGCAAGUCGAACGGAAAGGCCCUGCUUUUGUGGUGUUCUCGUGUGGCGAACGGGUGUGUAACACGUGAGUUACCCGCCCUUGACUUUGGUAUAACUUCAGGAAACUGGGUCUUAUACCGGAUAGGAGCUCCUUCUUCAUGGUGGUGGUUGGAAAGUUUCGGGGGUUGGGGAUGGACUGGCGGCUUAUCAGCUUGUUGGUGGGGUAGUGGCUUACCAAGGCUUUGACGGGUAGCCGGCCUGGGAGGGGGACCGGCAAAAUGGGGACUGAGAUAGGGCCAAGACUCCAAGGGGAGGAAGCGGGGGGGAAUAUUGAAAAAUGGGCGGAAGCCUGAGGCGGCAAGGCCGCGUGCGGGAUAACGGCCUUCGGGUGGUAAACCGCUUUCGCAUGUAACGAAGCGUGAGUGACGGUAAUGAGUAAAGAAGCACCGGCUAACUACGUG